RNAcentral lists this ribosomal RNA (682 nucleotides) under uncultured bacterium. RNAcentral's name for it is "bacterial SSU rRNA". It matches the Rfam family "Bacterial small subunit ribosomal RNA", at positions 60 to 731 of the family's 1533-position model. The record is from RNAcentral.
AGUCGAGCGGCAGCACAGCAGUAGCAUACUGUGGGUGGCGAGCGGCGGACGGGUGAGGAAUACAUCGGAAUCUACCCUUCUUGUGGGGGAUAACGUAGGGAAACUUACGCUAAUACCGCAUAAGACCUGAGUGUGAAAGCGGGGGACCGCAAGGCCUCGCGCGAGAAGAUGAGCCGAUGUCGGAUUAGCUAGUUGGUGAGGUAAAGGCUCACCAAGGCGACGAUCCGUAGCUGGUCUGAGAGGAUGAUCAGCCACACUGGAACUGAGACACGGUCCAGACUCCUACGGGAGGCAGCAGUGGGGAAUAUUGGACAAUGGGCGCAAGCCUGAUCCAGCCAUGCCGCGUGUGUGAAGAAGGCCUUCGGGUUGUAAAGCACUUUUGUUGGGGAAGAAAAGAUUCGGGUUAAUAACCCGGGUUCAUGACGGUACCCAAAGAAUAAGCACCGGCUAACUUCGUGCCAGCAGCCGCGGUAAUACGAAGGGUGCAAGCGUUACUCGGAAUUACUGGGCGUAAAGCGUGCGUAGGCGGUUUGUUAAGUCUGUCGUGAAAGCUCCGGGCUCAACCUGGGAGUGGCGGUGGAUACUGGCAGGCUAGAGUACGGUAGAGGAUGGUGGAAUUCCCGGUGUAGCAGUGAAAUGCGUAGAGAUCGGGAGGAACAUCUAUGGCGAAGGCAGCCAUCUG